AAUGGGUAACCCUACACUCCCUCCAGCACGGUCACUGUUUACCUGUUUCACACUCCGUCUACUUGCUGCCCACGUGUAAGGUGUUUUUGCACAGGUGUUGUCAGGAUACAAAUACAAUUUCAUAAUAUGUUUUUCUUCUCAUUUAUUGUUGUUCAGUUUCCCAAACUGCUUUACGAUCAUCACAGUAUUUUAACGGCUGCGCCUUAAUCUGCUUGGUUACUGUAUUUACCUUUCCCCGACCGGUUAAUAUUUAGCUGUUUUCAGUAAUUUUCCCUAACCGAUUUCCAAGACCUGACUGGGACGCUCAGUGCUUAAAGCAUGAGCUCUCAACAUCUCCAAAUAUCCAGCUCCUAUCAAACUGGUCAGCCCUUCCCUCCACUCACUCUUUGGCUCAGGAGAGCUCCACUCUGCUCAGUGCUAUGUCAUCCUC
RNAcentral lists this long non-coding RNA (430 nucleotides) under Bos taurus (domestic cattle). RNAcentral's name for it is "long non-coding RNA NONBTAT021667". Lineage: Eukaryota; Metazoa; Chordata; Mammalia; Artiodactyla; Bovidae. The record is from RNAcentral.